Molecule: long non-coding RNA, 956 nt
Organism: Amborella trichopoda
Lineage: Eukaryota; Viridiplantae; Streptophyta; Magnoliopsida; Amborellales; Amborellaceae
Source: RefSeq, a predicted model, not a curated record
CAACAUCAAAACGGUAUUUUUUGAUGAUUUUUUAAGGUUGCACUUGAUUCUACCGUUUGAGGUUGCAACCUUAUGGGUGUGUUUAAUAACAAGAAGUUGCUCAAGUGAGAAGUUACCUAUUAAAAUUAUUGUUCUUCCUAUGCGUUUGAUAAAAAAGGGACGGCAACGAGAGAAGUUCUACUUUACUGUUCAUGUUUUAUUUUUUAUACGUAAAAAAAAGUUCCGACAAAAAGGUCGGAACUUGAAAAUGGAAGUUUAUAAAAACUUUUUUUUUUGAGAAGGAAGUUUAUAAAAACUUUUGUCCCCGAUAAAAAAUGCCUCCUCCACCAUUGAGAAGCAGUACGCACAGAGCCCCCCUCUCCACCAUCUCUCACACCGAUUUUUAUCAAGAGCCCUCCUAGCCAUUGAGAAGCGGUGGACAGAGAUUUUCAUCAAUAGGUCGAGCUCCAUUGUUCCUGGGUUUUUUCGGUUCACCAACCUCCCAUCUGCCAUUAACAUCAGAGCCCCAGAACACAGUGUUGUGCUGGAUUAUCUGUGUGCUCAAUAAUUUGUCGCUCUAUUCUCGUGGAGUGAAGAGUGAGGUUGCAUGAUUUCAAUAUAGUUAUUGAGAGAGAGGGGUUUGACUGAACCAAGUUUUCUAUGAAUAACAGUUCCAGAGAUGGGGUGACAUGAUCUCAAUAAGUUUUCAAUGAAUAACAGUUCCAGAGAUGAAUAGACUGCAUCAUUUUAGUAUGGCUUGAUUCCUUGUUUCCUUUGUGAAUAGACUGAACCAAGUAUUUGGUUCGUUGUAUUUGUAUGUAUUUUCUUCUAGAGGAUAAGGGGAUUCAAUGUCAUUGUGUGGUUGUGGUAAAGUUUCACUCUUUUAUUUUGGCGUUAGUUAUUUUCUUUCUCAGAAUGUAAAUAUGGUGAUAUGUAAAUGGUUUCAUCUUCAUUUAGGUUGACGUUGGUUUGGACUU